GGCAGCAUGGUCUAGUGGAAAAAGCACUGGCCUGGGAGUCCAAAGAUGUGGGUUCUAAUCCUGAUUCUGCCA
This 72-nucleotide transfer RNA is filed under the name Ornithorhynchus anatinus (platypus). It matches the Rfam family "tRNA". Rfam says of the family: Transfer RNA (tRNA) molecules are approximately 80 nucleotides in length. The record is from Rfam by way of RNAcentral. Lineage: Eukaryota; Metazoa; Chordata; Mammalia; Monotremata; Ornithorhynchidae.